AGAGUUUGAUCCUGGCUCAGAGCGAACGCUGGCGGCAUGCUUAACACAUGCAAGUCGCACGGUCAGCAAUGGCAGUGGCGGACGGGUGAGUAACGCGUAGGUAUCUGUCCAUGGGUGGGGGAUAACCAAGGGAAACUUUGGCUAAUACCGCAUGAUGCCCGAGGGCCAAAGGCGCAAGUCGCCUGUGGAGGAGCCUGCGU
Molecule: ribosomal RNA, 200 nt
Filed under: uncultured bacterium
Lineage: Bacteria
Description: partial 16S ribosomal RNA
Rfam family: Bacterial small subunit ribosomal RNA
Source: RNAcentral